CUGCAAUGCCCCAUGCUUUGCUGAUUGCAGCCCUGGUGCUCUGCAACUAAUGGGGCCCAGAUGGGGCCAAGAAAAAACGAACUGAGCUGGCUGGGAAGGAACUGAUUUAUAGUCCUACUCUUUCUCCUCCCCCUCCAAAACAAACAAAGUUAAGGAAAGGCAAAUCUACUUGGCUGCCACAUAAAUCUCUAGCCUGUGUGACAUGUGUACACUCUAAGAAGUCUCAAAAUGGAGCAAGAAAAUGAGACCAUCACAUGUGUUCGUCCUGACAGCACAGACUACUUCAUAGCCAGUAAAAAUGCUGUUUCUCUCUUGGAGCCAUUGUCUUGGAGGAACAUCUGGCCUGUGAGGGAUGGUAGAGUCAGGUGCUUGCAAGGUGGAGAAUGACGAUGUCCCAAAUGUAACCUACAACCAGCAGUAACCAUAGAACACAGUGUUUUGUGAGGAAGACAGAAUUAAUGCCAAGUGAUCUGUAUCGAAAUGAGGAUCUCCUUCCACCCAGUAUCAUUUGCUGUGGCACAUUUCUCAACAAGAAUAGCAUUUGCUGUGAUGUAGACUGGAAGAAGCUUUCACUGUCACACAGGAUACAUAUUUUCCCUUUUCCUCAACUCUUCCUUAGAGGUAACCUUUGUCAUGCAACUAGUCUGCAAAGCAAAGCUGCAUCAACCAGUGAAUGUGUACAGUUCAUCAUAUCCUUUACCACUGGAGCUAGAGAGAAUUCAGUGAUGGAGAAGCAUCUCUUCCACUGCACACCAGGGCUGGACAUGAAACUUUCCCUUCUGUUAAUACAAGCUGACUUUCCUUUGAAGAUCUAAACAAAUACAAAAGAGGAAUUCUACCAGCAAGGCUCAUCUGUACUGUGGUGUUUUGAAAGAUGACACUUCAGCUUUUCUCUGUACAAUUGAAGAACACUCUGCCUUCUCAGGCUUGUGUUAGUGCCACUUUUACCACAGAGC
This 956-nucleotide long non-coding RNA is filed under the name Parus major (Great Tit). Its description in RNAcentral is "lncRNA (ENSPMJG00000011556.1)". The record is from RNAcentral. Lineage: Eukaryota; Metazoa; Chordata; Aves; Passeriformes; Paridae.